GUGGGGAAUUUUGGACAAUGGGGGCAACCCUGAUCCAGCCAUGCCGCGUGCGGGAAGAAGGCCUUCGGGUUGUAAACCGCUUUUGUCAGGGAAGAAAUCCUUUGGGUUAAUACCUCGGAGGGAUGACGGUACCUGAAGAAUAAGCACCGGCUAACUACGUGCCAGCAGCCGCGGUAAUACGUAGGGUGCGAGCGUUAAUCGGAAUUACUGGGCGUAAAGCGUGCGCAGGCGGUUUUGUAAGAUCGAUGUGAAAUCCCCGGGCUCAACCUGGGAACUGCAUUGGUGACUGCAAGGCUGGAGUGCGGCAGAGGGGGAUGGAAUUCCGAGUGUAGCAGUGAAAUGCGUAGAUAUGCGGAGGAACACCGAUGGCGAAGGCAAUCCCCUGGGCCUGCACUGACGCUCAUGCACGAAAGCGUGGGGAGCAAACAGGAUUAGAAACCCUUGUAGUCC
Molecule: ribosomal RNA, 450 nt
Filed under: uncultured bacterium
Lineage: Bacteria
Description: partial 16S ribosomal RNA
Rfam family: Bacterial small subunit ribosomal RNA
Source: RNAcentral